This is a long non-coding RNA of Cryptomeria japonica (Japanese cedar), 574 nucleotides long. RefSeq lists it as uncharacterized. NCBI's taxonomy places the organism in Eukaryota, Viridiplantae, Streptophyta, Pinopsida, Cupressales, Cupressaceae. The record is from RefSeq and is a predicted model, not a curated record. The transcript is spliced from 3 exons.
AAUGAAUUUGAAUGCCAAAGGUUUAGCAUCCAAAUUUCUUCAAUUCAAUUGUUAUCAUGUCUCUAAUGGAUGCUGAGAAGAUACAUUGAAGAAUUUCAAGGACAAUAACAGGCAAGUUCAUUCUCUGCAGAGUAAACGAUGAUAAGGGUUGAAAGAGUAAAAGGAUUUUAGAGCUCACGAUAUUGGCAUCUUAAUUUGUAUGACACUUGGUGGGUAGAUUUUGGCAUCUCCAAGCUAGUUGCAAUAAGGGAGCGAUCAAUUGAAUACCUCUUUUGGGCAGUUAGUCCGGUUGAUGAAGUGGAGAUUUCUAGUAAAGGAGUUGCUAUCACAAAAACCACAACUAUUGUCACAAUCAUGGAUGACAUUUUGUAUGACUAUGCAACACUCGAGAAACUCAAAUGUAUUACAGAGGCCAUCGCUCAAGGUUGGGAUGUUUCUAUUUUACAAAACAUUCCAAGCAACCUCAAGACAUGUAUUGAAUUUGUUUUCAAAAUGGUUCUUGAAUUGACAAGUGAUGUUGUGAAAAAGAAAGGGCAUGACAUAAUGCCUUUUGUUAUAAAAGCAGUGUGUAUAC